Non-coding RNA from Acanthosepion pharaonis, 109 nucleotides. The record is from the annotation of a GenBank genome assembly. NCBI's taxonomy places the organism in Eukaryota, Metazoa, Mollusca, Cephalopoda, Sepiida, Sepiidae.
UUACGGCCAUAUUACGUUAAAACACCGAUUCCUGUACGACCACAGAAGUUAAGCAAUGUAGAACCUGGUCAUUACUUAGAUGGGUAAUCACUUGGGAAUACCAGAUGCU